UGCUUAACACAUGCAAGUCGAACGGGAUGCUUAGGCAUCUAGUGGCGGACGGGUGAGUAACGCGUGAGAAUCUGGCUCCAGGUCGGGGAUAACAGUUGGAAACGACUGCUAAUACCGGAUGUGCCGAGAGGUGAAAGAUUUAUCGCCUGGAGAUGAGCUCGCGUCUGAUUAGCUAGUUGGCGGUGUAAGGGACCACCAAGGCAUCGAUCAGUAGCUGGUCUGAGAGGAUGAUCAGCCACACUGGGACUGAGACACGGCCCAGACUCCUACGGGAGGCAGCAGUGGGGAAUUUUCCGCAAUGGGCGAAAGCCUGACGGAGCAAUACCGCGUGAGGGAGGAAGGCUCUUGGGUCGUAAACCUCUUUUCUCAAGGAAGAAGAAAGUGACGGUACUUGAGGAAUAAGCAUCGGCUAACUCCGUGCCAGCAGCCGCGGUAAUACGGAGGAUGCAAGCGUUAUCCGGAAUGAUUGGGCGUAAAGGGUCUGCAGGUGGAACUGAAAGUCUGCUGUUAAAGAGUUUGGCUUAACCAAAUAAAAGCGGUGGAAACUACAGAACUAGAGUGCGGUAGGGGCAAAAGGAAUUCCUGGUGUAGCGGUGAAAUGCGUAGAUAUCAGGAAGAACACCGGUGGCGAAAGCGUUUUGCUAGACCGUAACUGACACUGAGGGACGAAAGCUAGGGGAGCGAAUGGGAUUAGAUACCCCAGUAGUCCUAGCCGUAAACGAUGGAUACUAGGCGUGGCUUGUAUCGACCCGAGCCGUGCCGGAGCUAACGCGUUAAGUAUCCCGCCUGGGGAGUACGCACGCAAGUGUGAAACUCAAAGGAAUUGACGGGGGCCCGCACAAGCGGUGGAGUAUGUGGUUUAAUUCGAUGCAACGCGAAGAACCUUACCAAGACUUGACAUCCUGCGAAUCCCAGUGAAAGCUGGGAGUGCCUUAGGGAGCGCAGAGACAGGUGGUGCAUGGCUGUCGUCAGCUCGUGUCGUGAGAUGUUGGGUUAAGUCCCGCAACGAGCGCAACCCUCGUUUUUAGUUGCCAGCAUUAAGUUGGGCACUCUAGAGAGACUGCCGGUGACAAACCGGAGGAAGGUGAGGAUGACGUCAAGUCAGCAUGCCCCUUACGUCUUGGGCUACACACGUACUACAAUGCUACGGACAGAGGGCAGCGAGCCAGGGAUGGCAAGCGAAUCCAGAAACCGUAGCUCAGUUCAGAUCGAAGGCUGCAACUCGCCUUCGUGAAGGAGGAAUCGCUAGUAAUUGCAGGUCAGCAUACUGCAGUGAAUUCGUUCCCGGGCCUUGUACACACCGCCCGUCACACCAUGGAAGUUGGUCACGCCCGAAGUCAUUACCCCAACCGAAAGGAGGGGGAUGCCUAAGGUAGGACUGGUGACUGGGGUGAAGUCGUAACAAGGUAGCCGUACCGGAAGGUGUGGCUGGAUCACCUCCUUU
RNAcentral lists this ribosomal RNA (1444 nucleotides) under Raphidiopsis brookii D9. RNAcentral describes it as "16S ribosomal RNA". It matches the Rfam family "Bacterial small subunit ribosomal RNA". Lineage: Bacteria; Bacillati; Cyanobacteriota; Cyanophyceae; Nostocales; Aphanizomenonaceae. The record is from RNAcentral.